Molecule: ribosomal RNA, 253 nt
Filed under: uncultured bacterium
Lineage: Bacteria
Description: partial 16S ribosomal RNA
Rfam family: Bacterial small subunit ribosomal RNA
Source: RNAcentral
GACGUAGGGCGCGAGCGUUGUCCGGAUUUACUGGGCGUAAAGCGUGCGUAGACGGUUAUGUAAGUCAGAUGUGAAAGCCCCGGGCUUAACCUGGGAAUGGCAUUUGAGACUGCAUAGCUAGGGUGCGGAAGAGGGAAGCGGAAUUUCCGGUGUAGCGGUGAAAUGCGUAGAUAUCGGAAGGAACACCAGUGGCGAAAGCGGCUUCCUGGUCCAGCACCGACGUUCAGGCACGAAAGCGUGGGGAGCAAACAGG